GACCCGUUAGCUCAGUCGGUAGAGCACUUGACUUUUAAUCAAGGUGUCCGGGGUUCGAAUCCCCGACGGGUCACCA
This 76-nucleotide transfer RNA is filed under the name Clostridiales bacterium. RNAcentral's name for it is "tRNA-Lys". It matches the Rfam family "tRNA". From Rfam's summary of the family: Transfer RNA (tRNA) molecules are approximately 80 nucleotides in length. The record is from RNAcentral. Lineage: Bacteria; Bacillati; Bacillota; Clostridia; Eubacteriales. RNAcentral also lists the same sequence under 3 other names.